CCUAUGGGGUGCAGCAGGCGCGAAAACUUUACAAUGCGGGAAACCGUGAUAAGGGGACACCGAGUGCCAGCAUCAUAUGCUGGCUGUCCGGAUGUGUAAAAUACAUCCGUUAGCAAGGGCCGGGCAAGACCGGUGCCAGCCGCCGCGGUAACACCGGCGGCCCGAGUGGUGAUCGUGAUUAUUGGGUCUAAAGGGUCCGUAGCCGGUUUGGUCAGUCCUCCGGGAAAUCUGAUAGCUCAACUAUUAGGCUUUCGGGGGAUACUGCCAGACUUGGAACCGGGAGAGGUAAGAGGUACUACAGGGGUAGGAGUGAAAUCUUGUAAUCCCUGUGGGACCACCUGUGGCGAAGGCGUCUUACCAGAACGGGUUCGACGGUGAGGGACGAAAGCUGGGGGCACGAACCGGAUUAGAUACCCCCGUAGUCC
This 425-nucleotide ribosomal RNA is filed under the name uncultured Methanosarcina sp. RNAcentral's name for it is "bacterial SSU rRNA". It matches the Rfam family "Archaeal small subunit ribosomal RNA", at positions 322 to 747 of the family's 1478-position model. The record is from RNAcentral. Lineage: Archaea; Methanobacteriati; Methanobacteriota; Methanomicrobia; Methanosarcinales; Methanosarcinaceae.